This 55-nucleotide small RNA is filed under the name chicken gut metagenome. RNAcentral's name for it is "Streptococcus sRNA SpF59 (ldcC RNA)". It matches the Rfam family "Streptococcus sRNA SpF59 (ldcC RNA)". The record is from RNAcentral.
GACCACCUGGUGUUUGCCAGGUUAAGGCCAUACGGACAGCCGGGUCAACUGCCGA